This is a long non-coding RNA of Hypomesus transpacificus, 664 nucleotides long. RefSeq lists it as uncharacterized. NCBI's taxonomy places the organism in Eukaryota, Metazoa, Chordata, Actinopteri, Osmeriformes, Osmeridae. The transcript is spliced from 3 exons. The record is from RefSeq and is a predicted model, not a curated record.
AGACAGAAAACUAAGACUGCAUCACCAAAGCCUGUUCAUUGGAAGAAGAGGGACCACAAUGGGGACAUUGUUCACCAGCGCCCACGAGCCCUUAGAAAGCAGUCAACAUCACAAAGACCAGACGAAGGAAGACAUGUUUCUUCUUCACCGCCAUUAGACCAUGGCCAACACCUAGACCAUGAUUUGAAUAUGCGGCAGGUUGAGGACCUUCUACAGGACUCAGAGAACAUGGAAUUGCAAGAUUUUGUUCAGCAGCCACCAUUGUCCAGUUGAAGUCAAAGGCAGAAAGAGGUCCAACAAUGUUGGCAACAGGCGAGGCCACAGAACCUUGACAAUUUACUUUCUGCUGAGAACGUUGUACAGAUGACAUGCAAUCGCUGUCACGUGAAAGAAGCUGUCAUCCGUUUUGGGGAAUCUAUGCCCUCAGUGUGGUUUUGCGCUGAGUUUGAUGGCUUGGUACAUAAACACCACACUCUACACAACAGGCAAACCAUCAUGGAUGGAUUUUUUCAAAUACAUCCCACCAACAGUCUGUGACACUCUGUCACACUGGAAAAUACAUCAUUUGUGAACAAGAUUGUUUUCUGCCAACAGCUCUACCUCAAAGGAUAUGCUCCUGUGACACCGCUGAUGCAGCAGUCUCUGUUGGUAGAUCCAUCAUACU